RNAcentral lists this ribosomal RNA (484 nucleotides) under uncultured bacterium. RNAcentral's name for it is "partial 16S ribosomal RNA". It matches the Rfam family "Bacterial small subunit ribosomal RNA", at positions 30 to 507 of the family's 1533-position model. The record is from RNAcentral.
AUUGAACGCUGGCGGCAGGCCUAACACAUGCCAGUCGAGCGGAUGAAGGGAGCUUGCUCCUGGAUUCAGCGGCGGACGGGCGAGUAAUGCCUAGGAAUCUGCCUGGUAGUGGGGGAUAACGUCCGGAAACGGGCGCUAAUACCGCAUACGUCCUGAGGGAGAAAGGGGGGGAUCUUCGGACCUCACGCUAUCAGAUGAGCCUAGGUCGGAUUAGCUAGUGUGUGGGGUAAAGGCCUACCAAGGCGACGUUCCGUAACUGGUCUGAGAGGAUGACCAGUCACACUGGAACUGAGACACGGUCCCGACUCCUACGGGGGGGAGGAGUGGGGAAUAUUGGACAAUGGGCGGAAACCUGAUCCAGCCAUGCCGCGUGUGUGAAGAAGGUCUUCGGAUUGUAAAGCACUUUAAGUUGGGAGGAAGGGAAGUAAGUUAAUACCUUGCUGUUUUGACGUUACCAACAGAAUAAGCACCGGCUAACUUCGUG